AGAGUUUGAUCCUGGCUCAGAUUGAACGCUGGCGGCAUGCUUUACACAUGCAAGUCGAACGCGAAAGGGGGCAACCCUGAGUAGAGUGGCGCACGGGUGAGUAAUGCAUCGGAACGUAUCCAGUAGUGGGGGACAACCAGUCGAAAGAUUGGCUAAUACCGCAUACGCUGGUGACAGGAAAGCGGGGGACCCUGAGCAGA
This 200-nucleotide ribosomal RNA is filed under the name uncultured bacterium. RNAcentral describes it as "partial 16S ribosomal RNA". It matches the Rfam family "Bacterial small subunit ribosomal RNA", at positions 8 to 211 of the family's 1533-position model. The record is from RNAcentral.